This 85-nucleotide ribosomal RNA is filed under the name Propithecus coquereli (Coquerel's sifaka). Lineage: Eukaryota; Metazoa; Chordata; Mammalia; Primates; Indriidae. The record is from RNAcentral.
GUCUAUGGCCAUACCACCCUGAAUGUACCUGAUCUCAUCUGAUCUCGGAAGCUAAGCAGGGUUGGGCCUGGUUAUCACUUGGAUA